Molecule: ribosomal RNA, 984 nt
Filed under: Triticum aestivum (bread wheat)
Lineage: Eukaryota; Viridiplantae; Streptophyta; Magnoliopsida; Poales; Poaceae
Description: partial small subunit ribosomal RNA
Source: RNAcentral
AUGAAGGCAAUGUCCGGGCCGAAGCUGCUCCUCGUCCGCCAGCCGUCGAGCAAGUACGGGAACGGGGCGGUGUCGCCGGCGACGGCCGCGUCCGUCUCCGGCCGCCGCUUCUGGCUCGUCGCGUUCCUCGCGCUGUUCACCUGCGCGUCCCUGCUCACGGUCUUCUCCACGGCGCGCGCGCCGUCCGGGGCGGCGUCGCCGCGGGUCACGUUCGCGGCCGGCGCCGGCGCGGGCAGCGCCAUCGGCGCGUCGGCGGACGGAGGGGCGCUGCCGGCGUACGUGUUCGACGCGCUGGUGCGGUACGCGGCGGCGGCGGGGGCGAACUCGACGGUGAGCAUGCCGGAGGAGGACGUGCGCGCGAUCGCGUCGGUGCUGCGGCGGCGCGCGCCGUGCAACCUGCUGGUGUUCGGCCUCGGCGCGGAGACGCCGCUGUGGCGCGCGCUGAACCACGGCGGGCGGACGGUGUUCCUGGACGAGAACCCCUUCUACGUGGCGCACAUGGAGGGCGCGCACGGCGGGCUGGAGGCGUACGACGUCGCCUACGCCACCGCCGUGCGCGAGCUCCCGGACCUCCUCGACGCCGCGCGCGCGUCCCGGCGCGCCGAGUGCCGCCCCGUCCAGAACCUGCUCUUCUCCGACUGCCGCCUCGCCAUCGGCGACCUGCCCAACCAGCUCUACGACGUCGCCUGGGACGUCAUCCUCGUCGACGGGCCGCACGGGUACGCCGAGGCCUCACCGGGGAGGAUGGCGGCGAUCUUCUCGGCGGCGGUGAUGGCGCGGACCAAGGGGACGGUGACGGACGUGCUGGUGCACGACUACGAGCGGGAGGUGGAGAGCAUGUGCGCGAGGGAGUUCCUCUGCGACGAGAACCGCAUUGAGGGGACCGGCACACCGUCGCUCGGCCACUACGUCGUGCGCGGCGGCGCCGCCGCCAACCGGGAGGCCUUCUGCGGGGCGCCACCGACCACGAAGAAGGCAAACUAG